This 525-nucleotide ribosomal RNA is filed under the name uncultured beta proteobacterium. Its description in RNAcentral is "bacterial SSU rRNA". It matches the Rfam family "Bacterial small subunit ribosomal RNA", at positions 886 to 1415 of the family's 1533-position model. The record is from RNAcentral. Lineage: Bacteria; Pseudomonadati; Pseudomonadota; Betaproteobacteria.
UCGCAAGAUUAAAACUCAAAGGAAUUGACGGGGACCCGCACAAGCGGUGGAUGAUGUGGAUUAAUUCGAUGCAACGCGAAAAACCUUACCUACCCUUGACAUGUCACUAACGAAGUAGAGAUACAUUAGGUGCUCGUAAGAGAAAGUGAACACAGGUGCUGCAUGGCUGUCGUCAGCUCGUGUCGUGAGAUGUUGGGUUAAGUCCCGCAACGAGCGCAACCCUUGUCUUUAGUUGCUACGCAAGAGCACUCUAAAGAGACUGCCGGUGACAAACCGGAGGAAGGUGGGGAUGACGUCAAGUCCUCAUGGCCCUUAUGGGUAGGGCUUCACACGUCAUACAAUGGUGCAUACAGAGGGUUGCCAACCCGCGAGGGGGAGCUAAUCUCAGAAAAUGCAUCGUAGUCCGGAUCGUAGUCUGCAACUCGACUACGUGAAGCUGGAAUCGCUAGUAAUCGCGGAUCAGAAUGUCGCGGUGAUACGUUCCCGGGGUCUGUACACACCGCCCGUCAUACCAUGGGAGUGGGU